UAGGGAAUCUUCCACAAUGGACGCAAGUCUGAUGGAGCAACGCCGCGUGAGUGAAGAAGGUUUUCGGACCGUAAAGCUCUGUUGUUGGUGAAGAAGGAUAGAGGUAGUAACUGGCCCUUUAUUUGACGGUAAUCAACCAGAAAGUCACGGCUAACUACGUGCCAGCAGCCGCGGUAAUACGUAGGUGGCAAGCGUUGUCCGGAUUUAUUGGGCGUAAAGCGAGCGCAGGCGGAAGAAUAAGUCUGAUGUGAAAGCCCUCGGCUUAACCGAGGAAUUGCAUCGGAAACUGU
This 290-nucleotide ribosomal RNA is filed under the name uncultured bacterium. RNAcentral's name for it is "partial 16S ribosomal RNA". It matches the Rfam family "Bacterial small subunit ribosomal RNA", at positions 355 to 636 of the family's 1533-position model. The record is from RNAcentral.